This 504-nucleotide ribosomal RNA is filed under the name uncultured bacterium. RNAcentral's name for it is "partial 16S ribosomal RNA". It matches the Rfam family "Bacterial small subunit ribosomal RNA", at positions 28 to 506 of the family's 1533-position model. The record is from RNAcentral.
GACGAACGCUGGCGGCGUGCCUAAUACAUGCAAGUAGAACGCACAGUUUAUACCGUAGCUUGCUACACCAUAGACUGUGAGUUGCGAAUGGGUGAGUAACGCGUAGGUAACCUGCCUGGUAGCGGGGGAUAACUAUUGGAAACGAUAGCUAAUACCGCAUAAUAUUAAUUAUUGCAUGAUAAUUAAUUGAAAGGUGCAAUUGCACCACUACCAGAUGGACCUGCGUUGUAUUAGCUAGUAGGGGAGGUAACGGCUCACCUAGGCGACGAUACAUAGCCGAACUGAGAGGGUGAUCCGCCACACUGGGACUGAGACACGGCCCAGACUCCUACGGGAGGCAGCAGUAGGGAAUCUUCGGCAAUGGCCGAAAGUCUGACCGAGCAACGCCGCGUGAGUGAAGAAGGUUUUCGGAUCGUAAAGCUCUGUUGUAAGAGAAGAACGGGUGUGAGAGUGGAAAGUUCACACUGUGACGGUAUCUUACCAGAAAGGGACGGCUAACUACGU